GACGAACGCUGGCGGCGUGCCUAAUACAUGCAAGUUGAGCGAUGAAGAUUGGUGCUUGCACCAAUUUGAAGAGCAGCGAACGGGUGAGUAACGCGUGGGGAAUCUGCCUUUGAGCGGGGGACAACAUUGGGAAACGAAUGCUAAUACCGCAUAACAACUUUAAACAUAAGUUUUAAGUUUGAAAGCUGCAAUUGCAUCACUCAAAGAUGAUCCCGCGUUGUAUUAGCUAGUUGGUGAGGUAAAGGCUCACCAAGGCGAUGAUACAUAGCCGACCUGAGAGGGUGAUCGGCCACAUUGGGACUGAGACACGGCCCAAACUCCUACGGGAGGCAGCAGUAGGGAAUCUUCGGCAAUGGACGAAAGUCUGACCGAGCAACGUCGCGUGAGUGAAGAAGGUUUUCGGAUCGUAAAACUCUGUUGGUAGAGAAGAACGUUGGUGAGAGUGGAAAGCUCAUCAAGUGACGGUAACUACCCAGAAAGGGACGGCUAACUACGUG
RNAcentral lists this ribosomal RNA (497 nucleotides) under uncultured bacterium. Its description in RNAcentral is "partial 16S ribosomal RNA". It matches the Rfam family "Bacterial small subunit ribosomal RNA", at positions 28 to 507 of the family's 1533-position model. The record is from RNAcentral.